AGAGGGUGACCGGCCACACUGGGACUGAGACACGGCCCAGACUCCUACGGGAGGCAGCAGUGGGGAAUAUUGCACAAUGGGCGAAAGCCUGAUGCAGCAACGCCGCGUGAGGGACGACGGCCUUCGGGUUGUGAACCUCUUUUAGCAAGGAAGAAGCGAAAGUGACGGUACUUGCAGAAAAAGCGCCGGCUAACUACGUGCCAGCAGCCGCGGUAAUACGUAGGGCGCAAGCGUUAUCCGGAAUUAUUGGGCGUAAAGAGCUCGUAGGCGGUUUGUCGCGUCUGCUGUGAAAACCCGAGGCUCAACCUCGGGCCUGCAGUGGGUACGGGCAGACUAGAGUGCGGUAGGGGAGAUUGGAACUCCUGGUGUAGCGGUGGAAUGCGCAGAUAUCAGGAAGAACACCGAUGGCGAAGGCAGAUCUCUGGGCCGUAACUGACGCUGAGGAGCGAAAGGGUGGGGAGCAAACAGGCUUAGAUACCCUGGUAGUCCACCCCGUAAACGUUGGGAACUAGUUGUGGGGUCCAUUCCACGGAUUCCGUGACGCAGCUAACGCAUUAAGUUCCCCGCCUG
This 570-nucleotide ribosomal RNA is filed under the name uncultured Actinomycetes bacterium. RNAcentral describes it as "bacterial SSU rRNA". It matches the Rfam family "Bacterial small subunit ribosomal RNA", at positions 295 to 875 of the family's 1533-position model. The record is from RNAcentral. Lineage: Bacteria; Bacillati; Actinomycetota; Actinomycetes.